GUAUCUAGCUGAAGGUACUGUACGAAUAAGCACCGGCUAACUCCGUGCCAGCAGCCGCGGUAAUACGGAGGGUGCAAGCGUUUAUCCGGAUUUAUUGGGUUUAAAGGGUCCGUAGGCGGAUCUGUAAGUCAGUGGUGAAAUCUCGCAGCUUAACUGUGAAACUGCCAUUGAUACUGCAGGUCUUGAGUGUAGUUGAAGUAGCUGGAAUAAGUAGUGUAGCGGUGAAAUGCAUAGAUAUUACUUAGAACACCAAUUGCGAAGGCAGGUUACUAAGUUACAACUGACGCUGAUGGACGAAAGCGUGGGGAGCGAACAGGAUUAGAUACCCUGGUAGUCCACGCUGUAAACGAUGCUAACUCGUUUUGGGUUUUCGGAUUCAGAGACUAAGCGAAAGUGAUAAGUUAGCCGCCUGGGGAGUACGGCCGCAAGGUU
Molecule: ribosomal RNA, 432 nt
Filed under: uncultured Chryseobacterium sp.
Lineage: Bacteria; Pseudomonadati; Bacteroidota; Flavobacteriia; Flavobacteriales; Weeksellaceae
Description: bacterial SSU rRNA
Rfam family: Bacterial small subunit ribosomal RNA
Source: RNAcentral